UUUCCGUAGGUGAACCUGCGAAGGAUCAUUGAACCU
RNAcentral lists this ribosomal RNA (36 nucleotides) under Urtica urens. RNAcentral's name for it is "partial 18S ribosomal RNA". Lineage: Eukaryota; Viridiplantae; Streptophyta; Magnoliopsida; Rosales; Urticaceae. The record is from RNAcentral.